Molecule: small nuclear RNA, 104 nt
Organism: Peromyscus maniculatus bairdii (prairie deer mouse)
Lineage: Eukaryota; Metazoa; Chordata; Mammalia; Rodentia; Cricetidae
Source: Ensembl
GUGCUUGCUUCUAAACACACGUACUAACAUUGGAACAGUACAGAGAAGAUUCCAUGGCCCUGUAAAAGGAUGACACACAAGUUUAUGAAGCCUUCCAUAUUAAA